Long non-coding RNA from Cebus imitator (Panamanian white-faced capuchin), 1550 nucleotides. RefSeq lists it as uncharacterized. Lineage: Eukaryota; Metazoa; Chordata; Mammalia; Primates; Cebidae. The transcript is spliced from 4 exons. The record is from RefSeq and is a predicted model, not a curated record.
UGCUGGUCGUGCUGUGGCUGGGCUCGGGCGUCGAGCUCAGGCUAGGGCUGACGAUGCUGGCCAAGCGGGAACGCACGUCUGGGAAGUCCUCGUAGUCACCAAUGUCCAUGACCUUCCAGAGGAACACAGACAUUGUCUCAAUUCAACCACAGUGAAGACUUGUCUGGCUGAGGAUUUCAAAUUCCAUAAUGAUUUGGAGAUACGCUACUAGAAACUUUCAGUGAGGACAAAGAAAAGGAGAGAUGCUGACCGCCUCUCUGGGCCUGAGAGUGGGCUGGAGAAUACCGGAGUCCCUGAGGUCACCGGCGGAGGGGAGGAAGUGUACUUUGCUCAGCGGUUUCACCGUAGCUACCUAGCAUGGGGCUGGAUGGUCAAAAUUGAAUUCUGAUGCUGGUUCCAGAAGAUGGAGACAGUGCCAAGAAGGCAACUGCCCCAGGGCAGACCUUCGUUGCUCCAGGAGGGACUACUUCCCUAGACCUAUUGGUUAGGCAACUCUAAGGCAAGUAUCUACUAUUUUGGGGGACAAGAUUGACUUAUACCUGUGUCAGAUUCCCAGAGAAGAGCAUCCAAUUGCUAAGAGUGGAUCAGGCAUCCCCUCCUGGCCCAGGGUGACUGCUUUAAGCAGCUUUAAACUUCGUAAUUUAAGAAACUAUUAGCAACGUAUUGUAAAUGAUAAUAAACUGAGAGGAUUUUCAGUACUGAUAGGAACCCUAAUUUACUUUUCUAGAGGGGAGGGAAAAGGAAUUCUGAUUGUUGAGAUUGCGAAAGAGAGCGGGGCAUGCAUGGUUUAGCUUCCUCUUCUCUUUGGAAGCCAAUUGAGAGGCAGGAAGUUGAAGUGAAUCUUACAAAGUUUCUUAAAAUGUUCUUAAAAGUACUGAGACCACUGGGAGAGGUCCCCAAGACCCUUUCACCUCCUUUCAGCAAGUUCAAAAUAAUAUUUAUAAUAAUGCUAAGAUGUUAAAUUUGCCUGUUUCAUUGUGUUGAUGGUACAAAAACAAAGGUGAGUAAAACUGCUUGUGCCUUGCUGUGAACCAAGGCACAGCGAACUGGACUAGUUACUGUUUUCUUAACCGCCAUAUACUCAGGAAAAAAAGCAAAACACCAGAGUUUUAUUGAGGAAUAUCCUUGAUGAACACUGUUAAUUUUAUUCCACUGCUGAAUGUCUUUCUUCUGCAUCAUAGAACACAGCAAUUGUUCAGAGGAAAAAUGCACUAGUGCUGUUGUGUGACUUGGGAGCUGAACUAGAUUUUCCCUUUAGGCACCAUUUUACUUGAAAGAAUGAUUGACCAACAAACCAUGAUUAUUCAAAUUUGGGCAUUUGCCUGACUUUUUCUUUAACAAAGUGACUGUCACUUCAAGGUAAACAACUGACAGUAUCUGUUGCUAAAAAUAAAAUUUGUGCUUACAAGGAAAUAUUCCAAUUUUACAAAACUUAUAUCCACCACCGUAGGCUUGACAGCUUUCCAAUACUUAAAGAUGUUCCUGAGGAUAUUGGUGGUGAUAUUAAUGAAUGCAGUUUUUGCAUACUCUAUAAUGAAAAUGAAAUAUGG